RNAcentral lists this ribosomal RNA (446 nucleotides) under uncultured bacterium. RNAcentral describes it as "bacterial SSU rRNA". It matches the Rfam family "Bacterial small subunit ribosomal RNA", at positions 355 to 825 of the family's 1533-position model. The record is from RNAcentral.
UGGGGAAUUUUGGGCAAUGGGCGAAAGCCUGACCCAGCAACGCCGCGUGAAGGAUGAAGUAUUUCGGUAUGUAAACUUCGAAAGAAUAGGAAGAAUAAAUGACGGUACUAUUUAUAAGGUCCGGCUAACUACGUGCCAGCAGCCGCGGUAAUACGUAGGGACCAAGCGUUGUUCGGAUUUACUGGGCGUAAAGGGCGCGUAGGCGGCAAUUCAAGUCAUCUGUGAAAUCUCCGGGCUUAACUCGGAACGGUCAGAUGAUACUGCUUUGCUAGAGUGCAGAAGGGGCAAUCGGAAUUCUUGGUGUAGCGGUGAAAUGCGUAGAUAUCAAGAGGAACACCUGAGGUGAAGACGGGUUGCUGGGCUGACACUGACGCUGAGGCGCGAAAGCCAGGGGAGCAAACGGGAUUAGAUACCCUGGUAGUCCUGAGCGGGCUGGCAAGGCGCAU